This 65-nucleotide transfer RNA is filed under the name Dipodomys ordii (Ord's kangaroo rat). It matches the Rfam family "tRNA". Rfam says of the family: Transfer RNA (tRNA) molecules are approximately 80 nucleotides in length. Their secondary structure includes four short double-helical elements and three loops (D, anti-codon, and T loops). Further hydrogen bonds mediate the characteristic L-shaped molecular structure. tRNAs have two regions of fundamental functional importance: the anti-codon, which is responsible for specific mRNA codon recognition, and the 3' end, to which the tRNAs corresponding amino acid is attached (by aminoacyl-tRNA synthetases). tRNAs cope with the degeneracy of the genetic code in two manners: having more than one tRNA (with a specific anti-codon) for a particular amino acid; and 'wobble' base-pairing, i.e. permitting non-standard base-pairing at the 3rd anti-codon position. Lineage: Eukaryota; Metazoa; Chordata; Mammalia; Rodentia; Heteromyidae. The record is from Rfam by way of RNAcentral.
GGGAAAGUGGCUCAGUGGUAGAGUGCAUCGCAUUCAUGAGGCCCUGGGUUCGAUUCCCAGCACCA